RNAcentral lists this small RNA (169 nucleotides) under Klebsiella pneumoniae. RNAcentral's name for it is "RtT sRNA". It matches the Rfam family "RtT RNA". Rfam says of the family: This family represents a bacterial cis-regulatory element known as RtT RNA. The exact function of RtT is unknown although it is thought that it may be involved in changing the cellular response in relation to amino acid starvation. Lineage: Bacteria; Pseudomonadati; Pseudomonadota; Gammaproteobacteria; Enterobacterales; Enterobacteriaceae. The record is from RNAcentral.
UAGCUCAGUUGGUAGAGCAGUUGACUUUUAAUCAAUUGGUCGCAGGUUCGAAUCCUGCACGACCCACCAAUUUCAUCAUUUAACUCAGAUGCUGAACGUGAAGGAUAACGUUGCGUCAGCAACGGCCCGAAGGGCGAGGCAAAGCCGAGUCAUCCUGCACGACCUACCA